UGUGCAUUGCAAGUUCAAUUAAUUAUGGGUAAUACUGUCACCACCAUCUGUACAAGUAGCUAGAAUGGUGUGAAGUCUCUUAUGUUUAAUUCUCUUCCCCUUUUCCUACAAAAUGUUCAAGGUUGACAUGUAGCUGUCUGUCAGUGUGUUGCCUUUCAGACCUAACAGCUUCCUUCUGCCUGCCCUGGCAGAUCUGUUGUAAAAAUCUUACGUGUUUCUUUGUCCAAAAAUAAAUUAUUAGAUUUGUUUUUCUUUUUUCUUUUUCUUUUUUUUUCUUUUUUUUUUUUUUCAGUGUAAUUGGGAUGCUGUCAGAGUUUGCUUGGGGUUCCUGUUCUGCUAGAUGCGUCCUCAUUAGCAGCAGAGAGCUUGUGCACUGGGAAGAGCUAUUUGGCAAAGGGGCCGAAGCCUGUGGCAGACGGUGCUGCAGAAGGUGACCGUGCUGUCAGCGAUUCUGGAUGGAGUGCUGGUGCCAAGGGGCUCUGACGUCCGCCACUUCCACACAGGUUCAUGGAGCUGCUGCUGUGCAUGCUCGGGGCCUUGGCAAUUUGGGAGGCAGAAAAUUUGGACGAGAGGAUGGGAAUGCUGAGAGUGCCUGUUCCCUUCGCUCUGCUCUCUGGCCUAGUUUUGCAUCCAUCUGUCUUCACAAAGGAAGAGGCCCUGGCAGCUCCCAGAAGAGGUGGGAUGUUGUAGGCUGUUUUGCUAGUCCCCAUGUAUAUUGGAAGAAAACCAAAAUCCAUUGACCAGCCCAGCUUGGCAGCACAACGGGAAUGUUGCAAUGAGAUGAUUAAGAAGUUUGAUUGAUUGAUUUUAAUACAAGGACCAAGACUUGGCUCCUGUGUGUUUGACUUCCCAAAUCUGCUUGGACACAAGCUGGUCUCUGUCAAAAUAUUUCCUGUGUACCACGCGCACCCAUGUCUAGCAUUAAGAAAACAUUUUUGUGGGAGAGCCAUGAGUGGGAUCUGUCUGUUACCUGUUCAUUCAUGGGUCAAAUGUGGUCAUGCAAGAGCAGCUGGAAAGGUCACAAGGGUCUUCGGUGGCUUUGGGCUAUGCCAACAGCUGGUCAAUGCUCAGGGUGAGUAAAACCUCACCCAAAUUUGUGAGCAAUUAUGGAAAUGGACCUCACAAUUUUAGUUGUUUCUGGGAUAUGGGGAGUUUCAGACAGUAGGAAAUGGCCUUCGCUCUGCAGGGCCCAGUAUGGUAUAAAACAAGUCGCACUGACAGCGACAGAUGCACUGCAAAAGGAAGGAAGAAGCUGCUGUCAUAAGCAGGUAUCUUAGCUUGAUGAUUCCAUUUGAGCCUGUCCCUGCAGCAGCAUAACGUAUGAGAUGAAUUAACUUUUCUGAAAUUCCCUCUCUCAUUUGCUUGUCUAAGGGAACAGCAGAAGCAUGCACUGAGUCAUGAAUUUUGGCGUGGAUUUUCUAAUGUAAGCAUGCUGACCCCUCCUACCCAUUUAACUUUACCGAAGUUACCCCUUGGUGACAUCUCUGCAUGCUCCCUUUGCUUUUCUGUCCCCUUCACCCCAGCAGUCCCCCUCAGCCCACAGACAGAGCUCAGCACCUCCCAGGUCCCAGCUCCCACAGCAGAGGUGACCGCCCAGCACCGCCGGGGACCAUGGAGGAGGGCAGAUGCCCAUUACUUUGGGACUAGAUGAUCAUAGAAGUCUUUUCCAACCUAAAUGAUUCUGUGAUUACAAAGUAUUUUCAGUGGUAUGUUCAAGCCAAAGAUAAUAAUAAUACUGAUUCUGGUGAUGUGGAAAAAAUCGUGGAGACUUGACAGAGCCUUCUUACUUAAACAUGUACGACCAUUUAUUUCAAUGUUGAGGUGACAUUGAGAUAAAAAAAAAAAAAAAAAAAGAAUAAAUGACUCCAUUUUUUUGUUUGUUUGUUUGUU
RNAcentral lists this long non-coding RNA (1890 nucleotides) under Anas platyrhynchos platyrhynchos (common mallard). RNAcentral's name for it is "lncRNA (ENSAPLG00000024072.1)". The record is from RNAcentral. Lineage: Eukaryota; Metazoa; Chordata; Aves; Anseriformes; Anatidae.